This 387-nucleotide ribosomal RNA is filed under the name Rhizocarpon geographicum. RNAcentral's name for it is "partial large subunit ribosomal RNA". It matches the Rfam family "Bacterial large subunit ribosomal RNA", at positions 1045 to 1412 of the family's 2925-position model. Lineage: Eukaryota; Fungi; Ascomycota; Lecanoromycetes; Rhizocarpales; Rhizocarpaceae. The record is from RNAcentral.
UUCCCAAAUUAUUGUUAAGUGAAAAUAAGGUAGUGUUUAUCCAAGCCACCAGGAAAUGGGCUUAGGAGCGGCCAUUUUUUAAAGACCUCGUAACAGAGCACUGGUUUUAUACAAUUUUGUAUGUAUUGUUAGAUGCACCUAAAAUUUAACGGAUCUAAAAAAUAUACCGAGACCUUGUCCAUAAAUAUUUAUAUGUACAAGUUACAUAGAAUAUAUAUGGGGUAGCGGAACAUUGGGCAUAUUUCAGAUUUUUUCUUUUUAAGACUUAAGAUUAGAUUACCCAAGUGAUAAUGCUGACAUGAGUAACGAUAAAGGGUUUAUACCCUCGCCUAAAGCUUAUGGAAUUUACUUAAAGUAACGGCCUCUAAGUUUAAAUUUGCUUUACUU